GGCAAGUCUGGUGCCAGCAGCGAGGGAAGGACAGCUCCAAUAGCGUAUAUUAAAGUUGUUGCAGUUAAAAAGCUCGUAGUUGAAUUUCGGGGUUAGUCUCUCUGGACAUGCCUCCGGUAUGUACUGAUCUCACUGAUUCCUCCUUCCUUAUGAACCGUAAUGCCAUUAAUUUGGUGUUGCGGGGAAUUUGGACUGUUACUUUGAAAAAAUUAGAGUGUUUAAAGCAGGC
RNAcentral lists this ribosomal RNA (229 nucleotides) under Rhizophagus intraradices. RNAcentral's name for it is "partial 18S ribosomal RNA". It matches the Rfam family "Eukaryotic small subunit ribosomal RNA", at positions 554 to 785 of the family's 1831-position model. The record is from RNAcentral. Lineage: Eukaryota; Fungi; Glomeromycota; Glomeromycetes; Glomerales; Glomeraceae.